GAGUUUGAUCGUGGCUCAGGACGAACGCUGGCGGCGUGCCUAAUACAUGCAAGUUGAGCGCUGAAGGUUGGUACUUGUACCAACUGGAUGAGCAGCGAACGGGUGAGUAACGCGUGGGGAAUCUGCCUUUGAGCGGGGGACAACAUUUGGAAACGAAUGCUAAUACCGCAUAAAAACUUUAAACACAAGUUUUAAGUUUGAAAGAUGCAAUUGCAUCACUCAAAGAUGAUCCCGCGUUGUAUUAGCUAGUUGGUGAGGUAAAGGCUCACCAAGGCGAUGAUACAUAGCCGACCUGAGAGGGUGAUCGGCCACAUUGGGACUGAGACACGGCCCAAACUCCUACGGGAGCAGCAGUAGGGAAUCUUCGGCAAUGGACGAAAGUCUGACCGAGCAACGCCGCGUGAGUGAAG
Molecule: ribosomal RNA, 410 nt
Filed under: uncultured bacterium
Lineage: Bacteria
Description: bacterial SSU rRNA
Rfam family: Bacterial small subunit ribosomal RNA
Source: RNAcentral